This 423-nucleotide ribosomal RNA is filed under the name uncultured bacterium. Its description in RNAcentral is "partial 16S ribosomal RNA". It matches the Rfam family "Bacterial small subunit ribosomal RNA", at positions 359 to 774 of the family's 1533-position model. The record is from RNAcentral.
GAAUUUUGGACAAUGGGCGAAAGCCUGAUCCAGCAAUGCCGCGUGCAGGAUGAAGGCCUUCGGGUUGUAAAGCACUUUUGGCAGGGAAGAAAAGGCUCUGGCUAAUACCUGGAGCUGCUGACGGUACCUGCAGAAUAAGCACCGGCUAACUACGUGCCAGCAGCCGCGGUAAUACGUAGGGUGCAAGCGUUAAUCGGAAUUACUGGGCGUAAAGCGUGCGCAGGCGGUUUGGCAAGAAGGAUGUGAAAUCCCAGGGCUUAACCUUGGAACUGCAUUCUUAACUGCCAGGCUAGAGUAUGUCAGAGGGGGGUAGAAUUCCACGUGUAGCAGUGAAAUGCGUAGAGAUGUGGAGGAAUACCGAUGGCGAAGGCAGCCCCCUGGGAUAAUACUGACGCUCAUGCACGAAAGCGUGGGGAGCAAGCA